AACGAACGCUGGCGGCAGGCUUAACACAUGCGAGUCGAACGCCCCGCAAGGGGAGUGGCCGACGGGUGAGUACCGCGUGGGAACAUACCCUUUUCUACGGAAUAGCUCUGGGAAACUGGAAUUAAUACCGUAUACGCCCUACGGGGGAAAGAUUUAUCGGGGAAGGAUUGGCCCGCGUUGGAUUAGCUAGUUGGUGGGGUAAAGGCCUACCAAGGCGACGAUCCAUAGCUGGUCUGAGAGGAUGAUCAGCCACAUUGGGACUGAGACACGGCCCAAACUCCUACGGGAGGCAGCAGUGGGGAAUAUUGGACAAUGGGCGCAAGCCUGAUCCAGCCAUGCCGCGUGAGUGAUGAAGGCCUUAGGGUUGUAAAGCUCUUUCACCGAUGAAGAUAAUGACGGUAGUCGGAGAAGAAGCCCCGGCUAACUUCGUG
This 431-nucleotide ribosomal RNA is filed under the name uncultured bacterium. RNAcentral's name for it is "partial 16S ribosomal RNA". It matches the Rfam family "Bacterial small subunit ribosomal RNA", at positions 29 to 507 of the family's 1533-position model. The record is from RNAcentral.